This 384-nucleotide ribosomal RNA is filed under the name uncultured bacterium. RNAcentral's name for it is "bacterial SSU rRNA". It matches the Rfam family "Bacterial small subunit ribosomal RNA", at positions 28 to 419 of the family's 1533-position model. The record is from RNAcentral.
GAUGAACGCUAGCUACAGGCUUAACACAUGCAAGUCGAGGGGUCUGCUUCGGCAGACGACCGGCGCACGGGUGAGUAACGCGUAUCCAACCUGCCCUUCAUAUUGGUAUAGCCUCCCGAAAGGGAGAUUAAUCCCGAAUAACAUACCAAAGUUGCCUGAUUUUGGUAUGAAAGCUCCGGCGAUGAAGGAUGGGGAUGCGUUCCAUUAGGUAGUAGGCGGGGUAACGGCCCACCUAGCCGACGAUGGAUAGGGGUUCUGAGAGGAAGGUCCCCCACACUGGGAACUGAGACACGGUCCAGACUCCUACGGGAGGCAGCAGUGAGGAAUAUUGGUCAAUGGGCGCAAGCCUGAACCAGCCAAGUAGCGUGAAGGAAGACUGCCCUA